GACUGGGUGGUGUAGAGGUAACACAUCUGCAUUGAAUCUCGCACGACGUUGCUCUAUCAUCUUCUGCGGAUGAUCCCUAUUCGAUUCAGGGUCCAGUCA
Molecule: non-coding RNA, 99 nt
Organism: Lyophyllum atratum
Lineage: Eukaryota; Fungi; Basidiomycota; Agaricomycetes; Agaricales; Lyophyllaceae
Source: the annotation of a GenBank genome assembly